UUUUGACGCAUCUUUUCUAGCUUCCGUUGAGUCUCCCUCCACCGCUUACUCGACUGUCCUUUUCAGUCUUAUUUUGAAUUUUCAUUUCCCUUCUAUUAUCCUGUUCGAGUGGCCCCCUCUUUUGUCCUGUUCGCUUCAGUCCCACCAUUUUUUUCUCUUGGUCCUGCGAGGAGGCGGAUCCAUGGCGGAGAAAGCUCGGCGCAACCAGCACGGCCGGUGUUGGAGGGGUCGGUGGCUGCAGCGACAGCGUGUAGUGCUCGGCCUGCGUCAGGGGGCGGGCGGUGCUGCUCGGUACUUGGAGUGCUGCGUCGCCGCAGCCGGCGGUAGGUGCGAUGGAGAGAUGUGCUCCUCGUGUUCUUCUCCGUCCACCGGGGAAGAGGUCAGCGAUUCGCGAGCGCAGAAGACCUAGUUCCCGUGUUUCCCAUGUCCUCUGCCUUUUUGUUCUCUAAUUUGGGGUACCUGGUUGUCCUCGAGGUCACGCGAGAUUUGACCUUAGUGUAAUUUGGAGUCGUAUGAGUUGUGAGAGCUGCAGCAGUUGUUGUUGAUUCGUGUUGUUGUGCUCGAUUUUGUUGGACGUUUUAGGUAGUGUUUGGUCUGAAUCUGUUCAUCUAGGUUGGAUCUCGUUGAUUUAUAGUUGGACAUAGCUAGAAGAAACGAAGAAUCUUCGAGGUAGAAGACGAGGUAUAGCUAGCGCUCAGAUUUGGUGAUGCAUGGAUGCAUCCAGCAACGCCAUCUCCAGGAAUCACUCCACUGAUUGAAUGUGCACUGUCAUCUCCAGCACAUAUUCAGAGAGAUGGAAGAAAUGGUUCGUUCAGAAAAGUUGCUGCUAGAUCGAUCUAUCGUCUCUCCCGCAAACAGCCAUUGGGGACCAAGUAGCAUCUAGCUGCAGCACCGUUGACAGCAGCAAUUGUUGGGAAUUCAAUCACCAAAGUAGCUUUUCAGUGGAAGCUAAAGCACAACUUUUCUGAAUUGUUCCCCAUAGUUGUGUUUCAAUGCAUGAUACUGCAGAGUACGGUGUGUUCUAGCCUUGUUACUACAAUUCGAUCAUUCUGUUCUAGCCUCGUUACUACUAGACGAUGAGCUAAUAUGUGUUUGGGUGUUGGUGGCGAUGUUUAGUUUGACCUGAAUGUGUUCAUCUGACGUCAGUGCAAAUAGGUGUUCUGUGGUUAUGUAAGGUUUCCCUAAAUCUGCUCUUUUUUAUGUUGAUCUGUUGCGAUCGUCGGUGCAAAUAUUUUUUGAGCGUCGACGCGUUGUGUCCAUGCUUACUGCACUUUAUUGUUGCUCUUAUGAUCUUGUUAUUCAUUUUCUUGCUAGUUGUUCGAUAAACGGACACAACAACAAUGGAAAAUCCAGCAGCAAAAGAGUGCAUGCUUAGGUAUUGUUGCGCAUCCUCUCUUGAUUUAAAUUGCAUUCCUAUCUCAGGCUUGAUGUCAGAACUUACUGUCGACUAAUCUUGUGCAGUACCAUUUCCAGCAUCUUGUUCAGUACCUUGUUCAUCAUCAUCUAAAAAUUUCUGCACAUCUUCUUCAGUUAUGUUGUUGUCCUUUUCUUGAUUUUCAUGAGUCGAAUCAGAUUCAUCUUUUUUUUUGGAUCAUCAUGUUCACUAAUGUUUGCAUUCCUUUUAUCCAGGUUCCAAGAAUGGUCAAAGUCAAGGUUAUGUGCUUCGUCUUCUUGAUCCUCUUCUUCAGCAACCUAACAGGAAAACAUUCUCAAAUUUUUCCCGAUCAGAUCGACUACAAUAUAAAUCCACUACAAUAUACGACGCGUUGUCUCCAUCUGGGUGACACUCCAGCUGAUGCAGAGAUCGUGCAUGAACCGCACUGGCUGCAAAUCCUCAAGAUAAAUCUCUAUGUAUUCCUCGCCAACGGGAUCCAUUUUCGAUCUACAGCUGCAGUUACUCUUUCUACGUCUGUCAGUUUUCAGGUGUACCUAUUUUUCUUAAUUUCUCUUGGUUAUACUGCUGUCAUGUGUAUUCAUUCAUUUUAUUUACUAUAAAUAUUAAGGAUUGUGACUUAGUAAAGAGUGUUUUUGGGUGAUCAGUCUUACCUGAUAACGAUGUACCAUUUCCCAAUCUGGAUGUUCCUAAAGCUAUUGUAGAUUCUACUCUUUAGUUUGGUCCCAAGGCUAUGGUAGUAAUUUUACAUGUUCUUUUGUGUAAGACUUGGAUUAGAGUGUGCAUUUAUCAUGUAGAUUCAGUAAUUAGCUGGAGUGGUCCGAAAGCUAAUGUAGAUCCAGCUAUUCAGUUUUGUUCCAAGGUAGUAAUUUUACAUGUUCUGGUGUAAAGCUUGGAUAAGAGUUUGUAUCAAAAUUAGCUGGAUGUUCCCAAAGCUAUUCUUGUAGUUUCACUAAUUCAGUUUCGUUCCGAGGAAGUAAUUUUUGAAAAUGGCUUGGAUAAGAGUUUGCAUCAAAAUUAGUGUUAGUUUCAACACCUAUAGACAUCAACACGAUAAAACUGCUGCUAGCUACAUCUUUUCAAAGUUUUGGUAGAGAAUUAUUUUGUGUUUUUCAGUAGCAGAUUUGAUCGGGACCAUUUACCUGAGGAUGCGAAGCGUCUUCACGUGGAAGUAUGGUUUCUUGGAGAAAUUCUUUUCCUUUCUCCGGUGAUUGCUCUUCUCUCCCGUCCAUUGUGUUUUGGGUGGCAGGUUUCUCUCGAGACGAAUGGCUGGAAGGAGUGGUUGGGGUGGUUGCAGCAAGUGAGGUGCUUUGCUUGGUGAAGAAGGUCGAACAGCUGCCUUUUCUGGGCCUUGUAAUGCGAGAAAGACUAGAGGGCUGAUUCGUAGGGUGUUAAAACAGAUGGUGAAAUCGUGACUCAAAAGCCUUUCACAAACUGAAAUGUGUCUGUUUCUGUGUACUGAAAACAGACACCUUUUUCCUUAGUUUACUGAAACAGACAGCUGGCUUCGUUUGAUUGGUCCAAGAAAAGUGUCUGUUUAUGAAUUGAAAAACAGGCAGCUGCUCUUUAGUCAC
Molecule: non-coding RNA, 2967 nt
Organism: Lolium perenne
Lineage: Eukaryota; Viridiplantae; Streptophyta; Magnoliopsida; Poales; Poaceae
Source: RefSeq, a predicted model, not a curated record